This is a long non-coding RNA of Vidua chalybeata, 466 nucleotides long. RefSeq lists it as uncharacterized. Lineage: Eukaryota; Metazoa; Chordata; Aves; Passeriformes; Viduidae. The record is from RefSeq and is a predicted model, not a curated record. The transcript is spliced from 3 exons.
AGCAUGCUGUGUUAUGCCAAUCCAGUGCCUUGUCAGCGUGGCAGACAGCUGUAGUUAGAAUACAAGGCUUCUUGUUCCACCCACCCCCUCAUAUCUCAGGUUUUAUUCUACUUGUUUGAGCAGUGGACACAUUCCUGCCAGUCUAGGUGUCUUAAUUUAAUUUGGGCACAGACUAUAUAAAAUUGAACAGAUAUCUGAAAGCAGUGAAGAGAAGACCAUAAAAUGAACCAUGUGCUCAGCUUCAUUUGAACCAAGCAAUGCUGUAUUUUUUUUGUCCCCAUUGCCACAAAAGUCACACGUAACUUGGAGGUGUGUGACAAGAGGAUCCAGCAUGGGGAGAGGAGGAAACUAGGAGGUGGUAGCCUUGGGAUGAUAACUGAAGUGAAACACAAGACUACCAAAGAAUGAGCCAUUAAAAAAACUUCAGGAAAAGAUGUCGCCGUGCCUGCCUGAAGCUGCCUGGCUU